UUAAAGAAUUUCGGUUAUCGAUGGGGAUGCGUUCCAUUAGAUAGUUGGCGGGGUAACGGCCCACCAAGUCAACGAUGGAUAGGGGUUCUGAGAGGAAGGUCCCCCACAUUGGAACUGAGACACGGUCCAAACUCCUACGGGAGGCAGCAGUGAGGAAUAUUGGUCAAUGGACGAGAGUCUGAACCAGCCAAGUAGCGUGAAGGAUGACUGCCCUAUGGGUUGUAAACUUCUUUUAUACGGGAAUAAAGUGGAGUAUGCAUACUCCUUUGUAUGUACCGUAUGAAUAAGGAUCGGCUAACUCCGUGCCAGCAGCCGCGGUAAUACGGAGGAUCCGAGCGUUAUCCGGAUUUAUUGGGUUUAAAGGGAGCGUAGGCGGGUGCUUAAGUCAGUUGUGAAAGUUUGCGGCUCAACCGUAAAAUUGCAGUUGAUACUGGGCGCCUUGAGUGCAGCAUAGGUAGGCGGAAUUCGUGGUGUAGCGGUGAAAUGCUUAGAUAUCACGAAGAACUCCGAUUGCGAAGGCAGCUUACUGGACUGUAACUGACGCUGAUGCUCGAAAGUGUGGGUAUCAAACAGGAUUAGAUACCCUGGUAGUCCACACAGUAAACGAAGAAUACUCGCUGUUGGCGAUACACAGUCAGCGGC
RNAcentral lists this ribosomal RNA (642 nucleotides) under uncultured bacterium. Its description in RNAcentral is "bacterial SSU rRNA". It matches the Rfam family "Bacterial small subunit ribosomal RNA", at positions 201 to 847 of the family's 1533-position model. The record is from RNAcentral.